This 73-nucleotide transfer RNA is filed under the name Mesocricetus auratus (golden hamster). It matches the Rfam family "tRNA". Rfam says of the family: Transfer RNA (tRNA) molecules are approximately 80 nucleotides in length. Lineage: Eukaryota; Metazoa; Chordata; Mammalia; Rodentia; Cricetidae. The record is from Rfam by way of RNAcentral.
GGGGAUGUAGCUCAGUCGGUAGAGCAUAUAGUUCACAUAUAUGAGGUCCCAGGUUCGAGCCCCAGCAUCUUCA